AUUGCGAUUUAUGCAUUAUGACAGCGUUUAUGUCUGUGAAAGUGCAGAAGAAAUGGGUUGCAGGCACGCUGCUAGCAUGUCUUUUUGGUGUGAGGCUGUUUAGUUUUUUUCGUGGGUUUUGAUGAAACUCUGUGGUCGCAUUGUAACUCCGAUGUAACUCUAAGUCCGUUUCUAUAAUGCAAUGGGGUUUCCAGUAAAAUUCUAAUGUCAGGUGGAUGUGGAGAUGUAUAGCCUUCGGCCUAUAGCUUGGCUCACACAGGAGUAGCAGCAACAGAAUGUCCAAACAAUGCCUUGGGUACCAUACUCAAUGGACCUGAAUCCUAUUGAACACCUAUGGGAUGUUCCAGGCUGACACACAACCUCCAGGAUAUGGGCCAUUGACAAAUAAGGAUAUUGGCAAGAUGGACAAUUCAAAAAUUCAAAAACCUGUCUUAAGAGCAUGUAUCAGGUUUAAAUUAAACCAUUACAUUAAAUUAAAUGUGCCUUUCAUAUUCAUGUUGGUUUCAUGUCAUUUGAAAUGAUGUUUAUUAUACAAAUAAUUCAUUUUAAGAUAUCACAUCAAAUAGAUUAUAUUAGGAUUAUCUCUAAAUUUAAAUGUUAUGCAUUUUUGCGAUAUUACUUGUUCGAAAAUGCCUCGUUUUGUAAACAAUCUUUGACAAAUUAUGUAUAAUUGUUUAAAAAUCAUGUUAUUACACUGCAGAUGAGAAUUAUAUUUUAUUCCACAUUAAUUUUCACAUUUAUUAUCAUAUUUUUAUGAAAAAUACUGGUUACGCCAAUUGACACAAACCAGUUUCACCAGUUGCUUGUUGAAGAAACUGACACUGUCAAUGAAGGAUGACAGCCAACAAGGCCAACUGAACUUGUUAUAUUUUGUUUCAAUGUAUAAAAGAUGUCUAACAACAAGAA
Paramormyrops kingsleyae is the source of this 906-nucleotide long non-coding RNA. RefSeq lists it as uncharacterized. The record is from RefSeq and is a predicted model, not a curated record. NCBI's taxonomy places the organism in Eukaryota, Metazoa, Chordata, Actinopteri, Osteoglossiformes, Mormyridae.